CCUACGUCGGAAUUUCAAAGUUACUAACCGACGAUCAACUUCCGACGCAUAGUUUGCCAAAUUAUUCAAACAUAUCCUAACCGUCACGAAUGGUUACUCCACUGAUAUCGCGACAUAAUCCAUGGGGAUUAAUAACCCACUACGAGAUUAUCGUCCUAUGAUUCUACGCCACCAAAUGCGGGACUAUAUCCGACGGUUACGACCAUCUACUCUAUAAAAAAGAGAUAAGGCAAC
This 234-nucleotide long non-coding RNA is filed under the name Elaeis guineensis (African oil palm). Its description in RNAcentral is "long non-coding RNA (EGUI_LNC036587)". The record is from RNAcentral. Lineage: Eukaryota; Viridiplantae; Streptophyta; Magnoliopsida; Arecales; Arecaceae.